RNAcentral lists this ribosomal RNA (1273 nucleotides) under metagenome. RNAcentral's name for it is "bacterial LSU rRNA". It matches the Rfam family "Bacterial large subunit ribosomal RNA", at positions 1671 to 2925 of the family's 2925-position model. The record is from RNAcentral.
GUAGAGAAUACCAAGGCGAUCGAGUGAACCAUGGUUAAGGAACUCGGCAAAAUGCCCCCAUAACUUCGGGAGAAGGGGGGCCGGAUGCGUUACCUCACUUGCUGGGGGAAGCGUUGAUGGCCGCAGAGACCAGGCCCAAGCGACUGUUUACUAAAAACACAGGUCCGUGCGAAGAAGUAAUUCGAUGUAUACGGACUGACGCCUGCCCGGUGCUGGAACGUUAAGGGGACAGGUUAGCUGGUUUAGGCCGGCGAUGCUUUGAACUUAAGCGCCAGUAAACGGCGGUGGUAACUAUAACCAUCCUAAGGUAGCGAAAUUCCUUGUCGGGUAAGUUCCGACCUGCACGGAUGGCGUAACAACUUGGGCGCUGUCUCAACCAUGGACUCGGCGAAAUUGCAUUACGAGUAAAGAUGCUCGUUACGCGCAGCAGGACGGAAAGACCCCGGGACCUUUACUACAACUUGGUAUUGGUGGUCGGUACAACUUGUGUAGGAUAGGUGGGAGACUGUGAAAUCCGGACGCCAGUUCGGGUGGAGUCAUCGUUGAAAUACCACUCUGGUUGUUCUGGCUGUCUAACUUCGGUCCAUUAUCUGGAUCAGGGACAGUGCCUGGUGGGUAGUUUGACUGGGGCGGUCGCCUCCUAAAAGGUAACGGAGGCGCUCAAAGGUUCCCUCAGCCUGGUUGGCAAUCAGGUGUCGAGUGUAAGUGCACAAGGGAGCUUGACUGUGAGACAGACAUGUCGAGCAGGGACGAAAGUCGGAACUAGUGAUCCGGCGGUGGCAUGUGGGAGCACCGUCGCUCAACGGAUAAAAGGUACCCCGGGGAUAACAGGCUGAUCUUCCCCAAGAGUCCAUAUCGACGGGAUGGUUUGGCACCUCGAUGUCGGCUCGUCGCAUCCUGGGGCUGGAGUAGGCCCCAAGGGUUGGGCUGUUCGCCCAUUAAAGCGGCACGCGAGCUGGGUUUAGAACGUCGUGAGACAGUUCGGUCCCUAUCCGCUGCGCGCGCAGGAGACUUGAGAAGGGCUGCCCCUAGUACGAGAGGACCGGGGUGGACGAACCUCUGGUGUGCCAGUUGUUCCGCCAGGAGCACGGCUGGUUGGCUACGUUCGGGAGUGAUAACCGCUGAAAGCAUCUAAGCGGGAAGCACGCUUCAAGAUGAGGUCUCCCACCGAGUUAAUCGGGUAAGGCCCCCAGUAGACCACUGGGUUGAUAGGCCAGAGGUGGAAGCGCCGUAAGGUGUGGAGCUGACUGGUACUAAUAGGCCGAGGGCUUGU